Molecule: ribosomal RNA, 795 nt
Filed under: uncultured bacterium
Lineage: Bacteria
Description: bacterial SSU rRNA
Rfam family: Bacterial small subunit ribosomal RNA
Source: RNAcentral
UNUGACUUGAGUGCAGAAGGGGAGAGUGGAAUUCCAUGUGUAGCGGUGAAAUGCGUAGAUAUAUGGAGGAACACCAGUGGCGAAAGCGGCUCUCUGGUCUGUCACUGACGCUGAGGCUCGAAAGCGUGGGUAGCGAACAGGAUUAGAUACCCUGGUAGUCCACGCCGUAAACGAUGAGUGCUAGGUGUUAGGCCCUUUCCGGGGCUUAGUGCCGGAGCUAACGCAAUAAGCACUCCGCCUGGGGAGUACGACCGCAAGGUUGAAACUCAAAGGAAUUGACGGGGGCCCGCACAAGCGGUGGAGCAUGUGGUUUAAUUCGAAGCAACGCGAAGAACCUUACCAGGUCUUGACAUCCCGAUGCUAUUCUUAGAGAUAGGAAGUUACUUCGGUACAUCGGAGACAGGCGGUGCAUGGUUGUCGUCAGCUCGUGUCGUGAGAUGUUGGGUUAAGUCCCGCAACGAGCGCAACCCUUAUUGUUAGUUGCCAUCAUUAAGUUGGGCACUCUAGCGAGACUGCCGGUAAUAAACCGGAGGAAGGUGGGGAUGACGUCAAAUCAUCAUGCCCCUUAUGACCUGGGCUACACACGUGCUACAAUGGUCGGUACAACGAGUUGCGAGCCGGUGACGGCAAGCUAAUCUCUGAAAGCCGAUCUCAGUUCGGAUUGGAGGCUGCAACUCGCCUCCAUGAAGUCGGAAUCGCUAGUAAUCGCGGAUCAGCACGCCGCGGUGAAUACGUUCCCGGGCCUUGUACACACCGCCCGUCACACCACGAGAGUUUGUAACACCCGAAGUCGGU